Eufriesea mexicana is the source of this 1165-nucleotide long non-coding RNA. RefSeq lists it as uncharacterized. NCBI's taxonomy places the organism in Eukaryota, Metazoa, Arthropoda, Insecta, Hymenoptera, Apidae. The record is from RefSeq and is a predicted model, not a curated record. The transcript is spliced from 3 exons.
GUCUGAGAAGACAAUUUCGUUUUCAUUACAGAUUGCUGUACAAAAUUUUGCAAUCACAACACAUACUAUUAUAUGUGUAUAAAAAAACAUAUAUGUAUGAAAAUCCUAUUAUUAACUAUAACGAUAAAAUAUUCAGAAACCCGUAACAAAAUGGAAGAACUGCAAAAGGCCACUUCACAUUUAAUUAUGCCAAACGACACUUUACAAAUGACCUACUAAAAUUUUUUAUGAGAAAAAUUAGUUAAUUCUGUAAAGCGAACAAUCUAAUUUAAAAACACUUUAUAAAUUCUUCAAUGCCACUCUGAUUCACGGACAAAACACGCUUAUUGGAUAAAGUUACCAACACCGAGUAUUUAAAGGAAAUUUCUUCGGAAUUCUGAAGCGAGUUCAUCAAACCGUGAAAUCGAUUCACUAUUUUGGUACCCGUAUUUGCGAAACAAUAUCCGACGUUUACCGCGAAUAUUUUGCAGUUCAACACGUAUCUAUAGGAUGGAGACACUUCGAGAACUCAAAUGCCACGCUCUAUCUCUUUCCUACCUUCAAACGGCAGCUUACCGCUAUUUCUCUUCACAAUUCCUUCUUGUUCACAGAAGCUCCUAAUCUAACAUUUACUUUUUCAUUCUCUUACUUAACCUAAGUGGGUUAAGCCAGAUUAUGUAUUUAAAUCCCUGCUAGAUCUUCGAGAGGCAGAGAAAAAAGAGCACGGUGAGAAAAUAACUUUUGACAUGGAAAAAUACGCGGUCGUUCGUUAAAGAAGAAAAAUGACAAAGGGGAUAAAAACGUCAGCCUUCGAAUCGACUAUUCUUACGGUCCUGCACGGUGCAUCAAUUCGCUUUCGUCGAAGUUGUAAAUUCGCGGCGCUGAUAUACAUUUCUGGUGCGCGAUGUGCGUCAGUAGAGGUUAUGUCGGAACAUUUGGGAGAUUGAAGAAGAGGCACAACGCGAUUCGAUUGGGCUCGAAACAGAGACUUCCGCCAAAGGCACGGCGGAUCGAGGUUAUAUACGCUCUUUUAAUGACGCACAUCAAAAUCGAACGACGGAGAAAUCGGACGGCUGCAGGCUUGACCUGAUUCCAGGAGAGUGCAUAAUGCUGUAAACGUAUCGCGGAAAAAUGUCGGACCAGGCGCGGGGAAACGUUACGUGAAUGAUUUCGCAGGUGCAACCUA